UGAAACAAAAACAAAUUUGACAGAUUAUGACGUACCUGUGGAUUAGCGACGGAGGUCUUCAACGGUGGAGUAGCGACGGAGGGUCGAUGGCUGAACGGAGGUCUUCAACUGUGGAGUAGCGACGGAGGGUCGAUGGCUUAACGGAGGUCUUCGACUGUGGAGUAGCGACAGAGGGUCGAUGGCUGAACGGAGGUCUUCGACUGUGGAGCGGCGGCGGCUUUUUUUUUUUUUGAGAAAGAGGGUUCGUGAC
Molecule: long non-coding RNA, 250 nt
Filed under: Solanum lycopersicum (tomato)
Lineage: Eukaryota; Viridiplantae; Streptophyta; Magnoliopsida; Solanales; Solanaceae
Description: partial TCONS_00126958
Source: RNAcentral